CUGACAUUUGAGUCAGUGGACUGGGAGAGGAAGACCCACCCUCAAUGUGGGUGGGCACCAUCCAAUCAGCUGCCAGCAGAGGUGGAAUAAAGCAAGUGGAAAUAGCUGGGAUAAGCCGGCUUGAUGAGUCUUCUGGCUUUCAUCUUUCUCUGGUCUGGGUGCUUCCUGCCCUUGGAUAUCAGACUUCAGGUUCUUCGGCCUUUGGACUCUGAGACUUGCACCAGUGGAUUUCUGGGGACUCUCAGGCCUUCAGCCAUAGACUAAAGCCUGCACUGUAGGCUUCCCUACUUUUGAAGCUUUUGGACUUGGACUGAGACACGACUGGUUUCUUUGCUCCUCAGCUUGCAGCCAGCCUAUCGUGAGACUUCGCCUCGUAAUUGUACAUUUUGAAUGCCAGGCACUGUGAUCUGGAAGAAUAGAACAGUGAACUAAAACACCAUGACCUCUGCCUGAAUAGAACUCCUAAUGUAAGGUAGGGAGAAAAUAAUUACAUGAACUCAUAUGGAAUUAGAGCUCUGAUAAGAGCUACAAGAAGAGAUGAUAGAUAUAAUGAAAAGAUAUAAUAGAUGAUUUUUUUUAAGGAGGGAAGUCGAGAAAUCUUGAUUAGUGAUUCAAAAAUGGCAAAGGGGAGGGUGAGGGUGGAUUAGAUUAGUUUUGCGGGCAGAGGGAAAUAUUUGUGCAAUGCCCAUGGCAAGUUGGAAGAGGGGAAGAUCUGCGCAGCUGGAGUGAAGAGAGAAAGGGAUAAAAGGCACUAACUGAGGGUGAAGAGACAGAGCUGGUCAGAUAUACGGGGCCUCCUUCUGAAAAGAAUUUCAUUGCUCAGUUUGAGAGCAAAGAAAAGCAGCUGAAUGUUUAUGUAGGGAUACAUGGAAAACACACACACACAUGAUUAAGAUUUGUAAAAGAUCACUCUGGUUGCAGUACAGAGGAGGAAUUGAGGCUCUAGUCUUAUAAGUUUUCCUCUGAGAAGGGAAGUGUCUGGAAACUAGGGGUUUUGAUGGUUGAUUCCAGACUUUCCAUAACAGAGUAAUGUAGAUCCCAUAGUCUACAUUUGAUUUCUGUCUACCACACAUUUUCAAAAUUUGCUUCCUGCCCCAUUCUCUUCCUUUCUGCAUCCCAAACUCAACCAGCUUGCUGAAACCUUGAAGUCCAUAAAUUAAGCUUUUGAUAUAAGCUAAAGGCAAAUUCUACGUGGCAUAAAUAUUCUACAACUGUCAAUGGAGUAUAGAUGUUCUUAACAAAAUGGUUCUAUUGUUAAAUAACUUUUGAAAAGGCUUGGUUAAACAGUUAAACAGAAAGCCUUGCUAUUAAGAUUUCUUCAAGUCUUUAAUGAAUUAUUAGGCAUUGUGCAUGUUUAGAAGGCUCAUGUAAUGUUGAGAUUCCUUAAUUUUAUUCUUUAGGGUGACUUUCCCCCCAUUUCAAGAACAAUUCCAAAAGAUAUAUUAUUACACAGAAUGCACUUUGAAAACUAUGAAUGUAUGGCCUACUGAUAGCCUGUUGCUGGCAGAGAUGGGGCUGAAAUUCAGAAUAUCUAUCCCAUUCUAUACUAUCCCAUAGUUUUGGGAGAAAAUUAAACCCUGGUGUAUAACAGAAAUUUUCAAUUAUUUACAUGUAUUUACUAUUUCCUUCUAUCUACUAUUCUAAACUCUCUGGAAUGUUAUGAAGACAGAAUUUUGACUCCCCUUAAAAUUCACAUGUUAAAGUCCUAAUCCCACAAUGUGACUCUAUUUGGACAUAGGCCCUUUAACAAGGUAAUGAAGGGUGAAUAUGGGCACAAGGGUGGGGCUCGAAACCCAUAGGACUGGUGUUCUUACCAGAAGAGAGAACCGAGGUAUGCAUACACAGGGAGUAAAGGUCACAUGAGCACCCAACAAGAAGGUGGCCAUCUGCAAGCCAAGGAGAGAAGCCUCAAGAAAGACCAAAUCUGCCAACAUCUUGAUGUUGGGCUCCAGAACUGUGAGAAAAUAAGUAUCUGUUUACCCCACCCAGUCCACAGUUUGAUGUAGUAGCCUAAGCAGACCAACAUACCAACCGUACAUGAAAUCUUAAUCUAAUUCUACCACUUUCUAG
RNAcentral lists this long non-coding RNA (2070 nucleotides) under Homo sapiens (human). RNAcentral describes it as "HSALNT0048047". Lineage: Eukaryota; Metazoa; Chordata; Mammalia; Primates; Hominidae. The record is from RNAcentral.